RNAcentral lists this ribosomal RNA (253 nucleotides) under uncultured bacterium. RNAcentral's name for it is "partial 16S ribosomal RNA". It matches the Rfam family "Bacterial small subunit ribosomal RNA", at positions 524 to 776 of the family's 1533-position model. The record is from RNAcentral.
UACGUAGGGGGCAAGCGUUGUCCGGAAUCAUUGGGCGUAAAGCGCGUGUAGGCGGCUCGAUAAGUCUGCUGUGAAAGUUCAGGGCUCAACCCUGAAAUGCCGGUGGAAACUGUCGGGCUAGAGUCCGGAAGAGGCGAGUGGAAUUCCUGGUGUAGCGGUGAAAUGCGUAGAUAUCAGGAGGAACACCAAUGGCGAAGGCAGCUCGCUGGGACGGUACUGACGCUGAGACGCGAAAGCGUGGGGAGCAAACAGG